RNAcentral lists this ribosomal RNA (513 nucleotides) under uncultured bacterium. RNAcentral describes it as "partial 16S ribosomal RNA". It matches the Rfam family "Bacterial small subunit ribosomal RNA", at positions 28 to 523 of the family's 1533-position model. The record is from RNAcentral.
GAUGAACGCUGGCGGCGUGCCUAAUACAUGCAAGUCGAGCGAACAGACGAGGAGCUUGCUCCUCUGACGUUAGCGGCGGACGGGUGAGUAACACGUGGAUAACCUACCUAUAAGACUGGGAUAACUUCGGGAAACCGGAGCUAAUACCGGAUAAUAUAUUGAACCGCAUGGUUCAAUAGUGAAAGACGGUUUUGCUGUCACUUAUAGAUGGAUCCGCGCCGCAUUAGCUAGUUGGUAAGGUAACGGCUUACCAAGGCAACGAUGCGUAGCCGACCUGAGAGGGUGAUAGGCCACACUGGAACUGAGACACGGUCCAGACUCCUACGGGAGGCAGCAGCAGGGAAUCUUCCGCAAUGGGCGAAAGCCUGACGGAGCAACGCCGCGUGAGUGAUGAAGGUCUUCGGAUCGUAAAACUCUGUUAUUAGGGAAGAACAAAUGUGUAAGUAACUAUGCACGUCUUGACGGUACCUAAUCAGAAAGCCACGGCUAACUACGUGCCAGCAGCCGCGGUAA